GUUCCGUAGGUGAACCUGCGGAAGGAUCAUUAUUGUAUAACCGAGGUGCGAGGGCUGUCGCUGACCCGAAAGGUCGUGCACGCCCGAGUGCCCUCACACACAUCCAUCUCACCCCUAUGUGCACCACCGCGUGGGUCCCCCUUUGGCUUGUUCGGAGGGGGGCUUACGUUUUCACACAAACUUUGUAUGCAGUGUAGAAUGUAUUUUUUGUUUUUGCGAUCACGCAAUCAAUACAACUUUCAACAACGGAUCUCUUGGUUCUG
RNAcentral lists this unclassified non-coding RNA (263 nucleotides) under plant metagenome. RNAcentral's name for it is "partial contains small subunit ribosomal RNA, internal transcribed spacer 1, and 5.8S ribosomal RNA". The record is from RNAcentral.